This 442-nucleotide ribosomal RNA is filed under the name uncultured bacterium. Its description in RNAcentral is "bacterial SSU rRNA". It matches the Rfam family "Bacterial small subunit ribosomal RNA", at positions 355 to 796 of the family's 1533-position model. The record is from RNAcentral.
UGGGGAAUAUUGCGCAAUGGCCGCAAGGCUGACGCAGCGACGCCGCGUGUGGGAUGAAGCCCUUCGGGGUGUAAACCACUGUUGCUCGGGAAGAACACACAGGGUUUCCCUGUGCUGACGGUACCGAGUGAGGAAGCACCGGCUAACUCCGUGCCAGCAGCCGCGGUAAUACGGAGGGUGCAAGCGUUGUCCGGAAUCACUGGGCGUAAAGGGCGCGUAGGUGGUUCAGCGCGCGCGUGGUGAAAGCCCGGGGCUUAACCCCGGGUCUGCCGUGCGGACGGCUGGACUAGGGCACUGUAGAGGCAGGUAGAAUUCCGGGUGUAGCGGUGGAAUGCGUAGAGAUCCGGAAGAAUACCGGUGGCGAAGGCGGCCUGCUGGGCAGUUGCCGACACUGAGGCGCGACAGCGUGGGGAGCAAACAGGAUUAGAUACCCCCGUAGUCC